This 301-nucleotide ribosomal RNA is filed under the name uncultured bacterium. RNAcentral describes it as "partial 16S ribosomal RNA". It matches the Rfam family "Bacterial small subunit ribosomal RNA", at positions 509 to 807 of the family's 1533-position model. The record is from RNAcentral.
CAGCAGCCACGGGAAUACGAAGGGUGCAAGCGUUACUCGGAAUUACUGGGCGUAAAGCGUGCGUAGGUGGUGGUUUAAGUCUGUUGUGAAAGCCCUGGGCUCAACCUGGGAAUUGCAGUGGAUACUGGGUCACUAGAGUGUGGUAGAGGAUAGUGGAAUUUCCGGUGUAGCAGUGAAAUGCGUAGAGAUCGGAAGGAACAUCCGUGGCGAAGGCGGCCAUCUGGGACAACACUGACGCUGAGGCACGAAAGCGUGGGGAGCAAACAGGAUUAGAUACCCCAGUAGUCCCUGUCUCUUAUAC